Molecule: ribosomal RNA, 301 nt
Filed under: uncultured bacterium
Lineage: Bacteria
Description: partial 16S ribosomal RNA
Rfam family: Bacterial small subunit ribosomal RNA
Source: RNAcentral
CAGUAGCCGCGGUAAAACGUAGGUCCCGAGCGUUGUCCGGAUUUAUUGGGCGUAAAGGGAGCGCAGGCGGUUUAGUAAGUCUGAAGUUAAAGGCAUUGGCUCAACCAAUGUAUGCUUUGGAAACUGUUAGACUUGAGUGCAGAAGGGGAGAGUGGAAUUCCAUGUGUAGCGGUGAAAUGCGUAGAUAUAUGGAGGAACACCGGUGGCGAAAGCGGCUCUCUGGUCUGUCACUGACGCUGAGGCUCGAAAGCGUGGGUAGCGAACAGGAUUAGAUACCCCCGUAGUCCCUGUCUCUUAUACA